AUUCCCCUAGUAACGGCGAGUGAAGCGGGAAGAGCUCAAAUUUGAAAUCUGGUAGCCUUCGGUUGCCCGAGUUGUAAUCUAGAGAAGUGUUUUCCGUGCCGGCCCAUGUACAAGUCCCUUGGAACAGGGCGUCAUAGAGGGUGAGAAUCCCGUCCUUGACAUGGACCCCCGGUGCUUUGUGAUACACUUUCAACGAGUCGAGUUGUUUGGGAAUGCAGCUCAAAAUGGGUGGUGAAUUCCAUCUAAAGCUAAAUAUUGGCGAGAGACCGAUAGCGAACAAGUACCGUGAGGGAAAGAUGAAAAGCACUUUGGAAAGAGAGUUAAACAGUACGUGAAAUUGUUGAAAGGGAAACGAUUGAAGUCAGUCAUGCUCUUGGGACUUACCUCCCUUGAGUGGGGUCAACAUCAGUUUUGAUCGAUGGAUAAAGGCACGGGGAAGGUAGCACUCUCGGGUGAACUUAUAGCCUCGCGUCAUAUACAUAUACAUUGAUUGGGACUGAGGAACGCAGCAUGCCUUUUGGCCGGGAUUCGUCCACGUACAUGCUUAGGAUGUUGACAUAAUGGCUUUAAACGACCC
This 577-nucleotide ribosomal RNA is filed under the name Naganishia albida. Its description in RNAcentral is "partial large subunit ribosomal RNA". It matches the Rfam family "Eukaryotic large subunit ribosomal RNA", at positions 74 to 650 of the family's 3401-position model. The record is from RNAcentral. Lineage: Eukaryota; Fungi; Basidiomycota; Tremellomycetes; Filobasidiales; Filobasidiaceae.